GUACACUCCUGCGGGAGGCAGCAGUGGGGAAUAUUGCACAAUGGGCGCAAGCCUGAUGCAGCCAUGCCGCGUGUAUGAAGAAGGCCUUCGGGUUGUAAAGUACUUUCAGCGGGGAGGAAGGCGAUAAGGUUAAUAACCUUGUUGAUUGACGUUACCCGCAGAAGAAGCACCGGCUAACUCCGUGCCAGCAGCCGCGGUAAUACGGAGGGUGCAAGCGUUAAUCGGAAUUACUGGGCGUAAAGCGCACGCAGGCGGUCUGUCAAGUCGGAUGUGAAAUCCCCGGGCUCAACCUGGGAACUGCAUUCGAAACUGGCAGGCUAGAGUCUUGUAGAGGGGGGUAGAAUUCCAGGUGUAGCGGUGAAAUGCGUAGAGAUCUGGAGGAAUACCGGUGGCGAAGGCGGCCCCCUGGACAAAGACUGACGCUCAGGUGCGAAAGCGUGGGGAGCAAACAGGAUUAGAAACCCGUGUAGUCCCAUGA
This 478-nucleotide ribosomal RNA is filed under the name uncultured organism. RNAcentral describes it as "partial 16S ribosomal RNA". It matches the Rfam family "Bacterial small subunit ribosomal RNA", at positions 331 to 800 of the family's 1533-position model. The record is from RNAcentral.